This 255-nucleotide unclassified non-coding RNA is filed under the name Hevea brasiliensis (rubber tree). The record is from RNAcentral. Lineage: Eukaryota; Viridiplantae; Streptophyta; Magnoliopsida; Malpighiales; Euphorbiaceae.
UGUUCGAUUAUUUGAAAUUUAACGGAUUGUAGUUUAUUAGGUUUUUUCGUUUAUGGGAUUUUUUAGGUAAGAGUAUUGGAGUGGGGUGUUAUUGUUUUUUUUAUUUUAGAGGGUAGAUAGUUAAUAAAAUGUUUGUUGGUGAGGGUAAUUAUUUUGAAUAAGUUAUUUAAAUAUUUUGGGUUUUAUUUUUUUUAUUUAGAAAAUGAUAAUAUGUAAAUUUUUUUUUUAUUUUAAAAUAUUAUGUGAGAUUAUAUA